RNAcentral lists this ribosomal RNA (253 nucleotides) under uncultured bacterium. RNAcentral describes it as "partial 16S ribosomal RNA". It matches the Rfam family "Bacterial small subunit ribosomal RNA", at positions 524 to 776 of the family's 1533-position model. The record is from RNAcentral.
GACAGAGGUGCCAAGCGUUAGGCGGAAUCACUGGGCUUAAAGCGUGUGUAGGCGGACUUCUAAGUACCUUGUGAAAUCCCACGGCUUAACCGUGGAACUGCUCGGUAUACUGGUUGUCUUGAGCCACUUAGGGGCUACCGGAACAAAUGGUGGAGCGGUGAAAUUCGUAGAUAUUCGGAAGAACACCAGUGGCGAAGGCGGCUCACUGGACUGGUAUUGACGCUGAGGUGCGAAAGCGUGGGGAGCAAACAGG